AGUUCAAACGGUUCUAGAGUAUAGCAAUCGAGCUUCUUCUUCUGUUGUAUGAAACAAGAUGUCCUCACUUCAUUAUUGAAUCAACGUGUAUAAUCAGAAGGAUUUUUAUUUUCUUCAGUAUCCAUGCAAUACCAGAAACAACCCGGAUUAUGCAGGGAGUGGAAAUCUCAUCCUUGGACGUUCUUAUUUUUCGAAUUUUUCUUCGGCUCGGAAAAAUCACAUUAUGCUCACUCACCACCCAGACAGACAACCCGACGGUUAGUUUUCUUACUAGCUGUGGGGAUCCACACUUCAUCAUCGUCUGGAGACGGUUUCCGGCAGCACUUGGAACAGACUUUACGAGCUUCGGGCUAGAAUCGCAUCGACAGACUGACGACAGGGAACGAAUUUGCUCCAGCCGAGGCCAUUCCAUCGUCGGUUUCCACAGUCUGUCGAUUUCCAUUGUGUGGCUGUUGGCCGCUCCCAAAACUACGUAUACACUACCACCCAAAACCAGAGCAGCCAGCAGGGAGCACAAACCGUAAUCAUUUGCAUGCUGAGAGAAUGUCGGGGAGCUUUUUCUCACGAUGUCCGAUGGGAAAACGGAUAUCAUCCGAUAAACGCUCUUGUUUGUUAAGGAAAUAUCACUCGGAGGAAAAUACAAAAUACUCCUUCCGAUGUGGGGUGUUAUUGAUAGUUGGAGACACUCUGGUUUCGAUAGAUUAUUCUGGUUGGGUAUAGGUUAUU
Long non-coding RNA from Wyeomyia smithii (pitcher-plant mosquito), 726 nucleotides. RefSeq lists it as uncharacterized. NCBI's taxonomy places the organism in Eukaryota, Metazoa, Arthropoda, Insecta, Diptera, Culicidae. The record is from RefSeq and is a predicted model, not a curated record. The transcript has 3 exons.